Dendrobium catenatum is the source of this 523-nucleotide long non-coding RNA. RefSeq lists it as uncharacterized. The transcript has 2 exons. The record is from RefSeq and is a predicted model, not a curated record. Lineage: Eukaryota; Viridiplantae; Streptophyta; Magnoliopsida; Asparagales; Orchidaceae.
UUUUAAUUGUCGCAGUAGACUUUAAUAAACCGCAGCUCAGAGCCCUAAUUUCUUAUAGCAAUCCAUCCGGCUCGCGUGUGCGAUCCUUCGAGGUCUUUCAUCGUCUUCUCUCUCGCCCUCUUUUCUCUCUUCUCAGUCCGAUCAACCCCGAGGUUCAUCUGCCCGUCGGUGACUACAGCUCCCAUCGCCAUCGCCAUCGCCAUCGCCAGCGAGUCCCGCUGCUACCGAGUCGCACCGCCAGAGUCCUUCCGUCAGAGUCCUACCGUUCAGUUUCUCCUGCAAUCCGCGAGAUUUUGGUUUACCAAUAUGUGCAAUGUGAGCUUUAAGCUUGGAACUAGGUGGAACUUGUUUGGGUGCUGGCUCCUCACCCCCGGUGAUAUAUUGUUAGUAGUAGGGUUCAUCGGCUCAUUAGGAUUGUUUGGCUUUUUCAUUGUAACUUGUUGAGUAUUAGGGAGCAUUUGAACCUUUUUAAGGAAUUUUUUUUUCGGAUAUUAACUCGUAGGCCCCUCUAUGAAUUUUAACU